CAAUAGCGUAUAUUUAAGUUGUUGCAGUUAAAAAGCUCGUAGUUGGAUUUCGGUUAAGAGCGACCGGUCCGCCGUUUGGUGUGCACUGGUUGGUUUUAACUUCCUGUAGAGGACGUGCUCUGGGCUUAACGGUCUGAACGUGGAGUCUACGUGGUUACUUUGAAAAAAUUAGAGUGUUCAAAGCGGGCUUACGCUUGAAUAUUUCAGCAUGGAAUAACACUAUAGGACUCCUGUCCUAUUUCGUUGGUCUCGGGACGGGAGUAAUGAUUAAGAGGAACAGUUGGGGGCAUUCGUAUUUCAUUGUCAGAGGUGAAAUUCUUGGAUUUAUGAAAGACGAACUUCUGCGAAAGCAUUUGCCAAGGAUGUUUUCAUUA
This 374-nucleotide ribosomal RNA is filed under the name uncultured eukaryote. RNAcentral describes it as "partial 18S ribosomal RNA". It matches the Rfam family "Eukaryotic small subunit ribosomal RNA", at positions 592 to 975 of the family's 1831-position model. The record is from RNAcentral.